Molecule: ribosomal RNA, 428 nt
Filed under: uncultured bacterium
Lineage: Bacteria
Description: bacterial SSU rRNA
Rfam family: Bacterial small subunit ribosomal RNA
Source: RNAcentral
UCGAGAAUAAUUCACAAUGGGGGCAACCCUGAUGGUGCAACGCCGCGUGGAGGAUGACGGUCUUCGGAUUGUAAACUCCUGUCAUCUGGGAGUAAGACCUGGCGAUGAAUAGUCGACAGGGUUGAUAGUACCAGAAGAGGAAGGGACGGCUAACUUCGUGCCAGCAGCCGCGGUAAUACGAAGGUCCCAAGCGUUGUUCGGAAUCACUGGGCGUAAAGGGAGCGUAGGCGGCGUGGUAAGUCAGAUGUGAAAUCCCGGGGCUCAACCCCGGAACUGCAUCCGAUACUGCCAUGCUAGAGGAUUGGAGAGGUAGCUGGAAUUCUUGGUGUAGCAGUGAAAUGCGUAGAGAUCAAGAGGAACACUCGUGGCGAAAGCGAGCUACUGGACAAUUCCUGACGCUGAGGCUCGAAGGCUAGGGUAGCGAAAGG